Molecule: long non-coding RNA, 7266 nt
Filed under: Medicago truncatula (barrel medic)
Lineage: Eukaryota; Viridiplantae; Streptophyta; Magnoliopsida; Fabales; Fabaceae
Description: long non-coding RNA (MTRU_LNC003474)
Source: RNAcentral
UUUUUCGCAAAAGAAGAUAUGGAAGAGCUUGUGAAGAGGUUUAUGGAUCUUGAAAGCCAAGAGGGAAAGAAAAUUAGAGAUAGAGCAAGAGAACUUAGGAUUAUGUGUGGUAAGGCUAUUUGUAAAGGUGGAUCCUCAGAUAGGAACCUCGACGCAUUUAUCAGUGACAUUUCUUCUUGAAGGUUAUUGAUACCGAUUUCGAUUCCUACCGAUAUUUUUUUUCUUCUUCAAGGUCACUGAUGUGUCAAGUAGAUUUGGCUACACAAAAAAGAAAUGAACUAAUGGAGUGAAGGAUAUUGUAAUUGUUUGUAAGAAUGUAUUUAGACAAGUAACAUUGUAAAAUGUCAUAAAACUGUGACUGAAAUGCUCUUUGAUGGAUGAAUUUGUACUCAUACAUUCAGCAAAUUGAUCAUAUCAGAAAAAUGCAGUGUAUCUUCUCAUCAAUGUUUAAUACAAGGGAUACAUUUGUUUUAGAAGUAUAUAGUUGCAUAAUUCGCGAAGAUAAUGCUUUGAAUUACAGACUUUGUCGAUGGGCACAUUCGUACUUAGGAGAAACAUGAUCAAUGGAUGAGGUCAUGCAUUUUCAAAGUCAUAUCUCAUAGUGUGUUCGAAAAUAUUGUCCACGGACUUACAAUUUCAUGCCAUUAACCACACUCAGUUAUUUCAUACAUGAAAUUAGAAGUUCCCUCAAAACCAAAAACAAGAAUACUACGACUCAAAUUUUCGUCAAUAUCAAACAUCCAUUUCUCUCUCAAAAUUGCAAUGGAAUCACCACCAACUUCCUUCAACCAUAUACUGGCCAUGCCUUACCCUUCAAGAGGACACAUCAACCCCAUGCUAAGCUUCUGCAAAAUCCUAACAUCCCAAAAACCCAACAAAAUUCUCAUCACCGAGGAGUGGCUCACCAUUAUCGGCGCCGAUCCAAAGCCAGAAUCCAUCCGCUUCACCACCAUUCCUAACGUGAUCCCACCGGAGCGGGAGAAAGCAGCCAAUUUUCCUGGAUUAUAUGAAGCUGUCAUGACGAAGAUGGAAGCUCCUUUUGAGUAGCUUCUUGAUCAGCUUGAGUUUCCGGUGAAUGUGAUCGUUGGUGAUGUUGAGCUGUGAUGGCCUGUUGAUGUUGGUCAUCAGAGGAAUGUUCCGGUAUCGGCGUUUUGGACUAUGUCUGCAACGUUUUAUUCAAUGUUGCAUCAUCUUGAUGUGUUUUCAAGAAACCAUCACUUAACUGUUGAUAAACUAAGUAAUUUCUAAUUACUCAUUUGUUACUGCUGUGAUUAAUUUUAGUUCAUAGUUUAUUUCAUUAUUUAAUUUAAGGAGAGAAAAAACUACUUAUGAAUGUUUAUUAGCUGUUUCAGCUUAUUUCCAUACACUCUCCAAGAUAGCCUAUGCCUAUGUAAUUCUUAUUCGUAAGCGUUGAUAUGAUAAGCAUUGAUCCUCUAAGCCUGCAAUAUAAGUUGUUUAUCCAAAUAGGGCAUUAGUAUUAUUGUGUUGAUGCUCAGUUUAAGGUACAUUAUCCUUCAUUUUGUCCCCCUCUUUUUUCAUAGAUAAAAAAAUUUAGGUUAUUUGUAAACUUGUCAAGUUUAAAGCAGGUAGUUUUCAAAACGUGAUGUGAAACUACUUACUGCAUUGGUCAAGGACUACCAACAAUCUAGAAUAGCCACGCAAUUAUAAAUGGAAAAUUUGAAAUUUAGCAGGAAAGUUUUUAGCAAUAAGUACGAAUGUGGCUCGCGGGGAAACAUUGCGGUUGAAAGACAAGUGUGGAGAAUUCAAGGUAGAAAUCAUCAAAGUUGGAGAGUGAUGUGAUUUUUGCAAAAGAAGAUAUAGAAGAAUUGGUUAAGAGGUUUAUGAAUCUUGAAAGCCAAGAGGGAAAGAAAAUUAGAGAUAGAGCGAAAGAACCGAAGGUUGUGUGCUGUAAAGCGAUUGGUAAAGGCGGAUUUUCAGAUAGGAACCUUGACGCAUUUAUCAGUGACAUUUCAUAUUUCAUCUUGAAUGUCACUGAUAUCACUGGAGUCUAGCGCAAGUGAUUGGUGCAUAGUGUGUGUUAUAAACCAUAUGGUACCAAUUUUGAUUUCCACUAAUAAAAUAAAAUUCAAGGUCUCUGACGUGUUGAGUAGGUUUGGUUUAGUUACACAAAUAAGCAAUGCAAUAAUGGAAUGAAGGGUAUUGUAAUUGAAUGUGUAACCGAAUUGCUGUUUGAUAGAUGACUUUGUACUUUGAUCAUUUAAGAAAACUGCAGCAUGUACCAUAUGUGUAAUAACUCAUCAAUGUAGAAUAGUAGGGGAAGCAACCAAGUUGCCUGGGUUUUAGUGGCAAGGAGCUCCUUCCAAGGACGUACAUGGGGAAUACCAGGUUCGAUUCCCAGGGGGAACAACACUUGGCCAGGGCGCAUGCCUCUACGCACGAGCCGGAUUAGUCGCUCAUCUUUGGUGGAUAAGAAUUUUUUUUUUUGUUACUAGUUUAUGAUAUAUGUGAACAACUCAUCGAUCCAAUACAACAAUUUUUAAAGCAUUUUCUUUGUUGUUUUAUACAACUCUUAUCUCUAGAUCUAGCAUUAGAUACUACCAUUGACUAAUCACAUCAAACCACAAACAACUCAUCUUAUCUCUCAGUAGCCAUUCUCCGGCAAUGAAUUUCUCCGGCGACGACAUGUGCCACGUUAUGGCGAUGCCAUUUCCAGGAAGAGGACACAUCAACCCCAUGCUAAGCUUAUGCAAAUUCCUAAUCUCACGAAAACCCAACAACAUUCUUAUCACUUUUGUAGUCACUGAAGAAUGGCUUGGCUUUAUCGGCAAUGAUCCAAAGCCGGAAUCCAUCCGCUUCGCCACCAUACCCAACGUGGCUCCACCGGAGCAGGAGAAAACUAUAGAUAAUUUUCAUCUGUUUUAUGAAGCUGCCAUGACGAAGAUGGAAGCGCCGUUUGAACAGCUUCUUGAUCAACUUGAGUUGCCGGUGAAUGUGAUUGUUGGUGAUGUUGAACUGCGGUGGCCUGUUGACGUUGGUAAUCGGAGGAAUAUUCCGGUGGCAUCUCUUUGGACUAUGUCCGCAUCAUUUUACUCCAUGUUGCAUCAUCUUGAGGUCUUUUCACGUCAUCAACACUUAACUCAUGAUAAGCUGGGUAAGCAAUAGGAAUGUAGUAAAAAAGUGACAUUCAUGUAGUUGUUUUGGCUCAACCAUGGUUGUUGGAUUGAGAUCCGAGACUAUUCCAAUUUUAAAUACAAAAUAUUGACUUUGAAACGUCUGAUCUCGAUCCAAUAACUACACUUGUACUAAUUGCAUGAAAUUUACGAUUGUGGUCAAUCUGUCCUGCUAGUUAAUUAAUCAUUUGUUAGAUCUAUGCUUAAUUUUAGUUACAACUUUAUUUAUAUUUGAAGAAGAAAAAAACAUAAAUUUAAAUAAUAUGCAUCACCUGCAAUCUCGUAACUAUGGGUGUUCACGGGUAGGCAUGGCAAUGGGGCGGGGUGGGGACGGGUUUUACCUUCUCCGUCCUCAUACCCGAUUCUCAUAUAUUUACCUGUUACCUUACCUAUAUUCAACGGGAUGAGAAAUUGAAUCUCAUCCCCGUCCCCGACGGAUUCGGGUAUCCCUGCCCCAUCUCCGUCCCCGCAUUGAAUAAUUUUUUUAAUAAAAAAUAGAAGUUUUUUUGCAUCCCCAAGAACAACGUAGUAAUACAUUAUUCAACAAUACGCUCACUUUAACAUUGUUAGACGGAAUGAUUUAUUUGAUCCUUUAAAUAUCAACGGUAGUUUUUAUUAACAUGACAAUUAUCAAACAAAAUAACAUGGCAUAUCAACUUAAAGUAAUUUUUUACAUUUGGGACGGGUUUGGGUGUGUGUUCGGGGUGGGUACCUAUAUACCCGUUACCUGUCCCAUACUCGUGUUUUAAAAUCGGAGAAAACCCAUACUCAUACCCAAACCCAGUCAAAACGGGAAAAUCCGUCAAAUUGGGUUUGGUUCGGACGGAUAACCGUAGAUAUGGGUUUUGUUGCCAUGCCUAUUCAUGGGUCUAGGUGAUCCGUUCAAUCCAACCCAAAUAUUACCAAAUUUAUUCAAGUUUGGAUACAAUAUGAACAAACUCGUUCAAACCUGAGUUGUUUGGAAGUUUACGAGUUUGUCUGACUAGUGAAUAUCCCUACUCAUAAUGUUAUAGUUAAAAAUGUUUAACUUAAGUCAUAUGAUUUGUGAUUUUAGUUUUUGUUCACAGCAUACAAAAUUUUAAGUUGACCGUGGAUUAGAAUUAUUUUCAAAAAAUGUUCUAUGCUCAUUUUAAAAUUCUAUAAUUAUUCCAAUAUAUAGUUACUUUGACGUAAUGGAUUGGUACGAUAAAUAAGUGUGGUUAGGGGUUUCUUGAUUAGAGGAGACAACCCACUUUAUAUAUUGCUAAUCGCUAUUAUCUAACAAGUUUUCUACAAAGAUUAAAAGGUAAAACAUCAAUAAUAGUGUUUUGAUCCAGAGGUGAUCUAGAUCGUAGGUCGGAGUGGUGGAAGCACGAUAGAGGCAGAACCUCAGAGCGAGGCUGAGGGGUGUACUUGCAAUCACUAUCAAGUUAGUUUGUGAUUGGGAGUGUAAGGUUUUAGAGUUUAGAGAACGUGUAUCUUUAACUUGGAUCAAAUGUGUUUAUUUAUAUUAUUAUGAAAUCAGAAAAAUAGUGUAUUAUUGCAUAAUGGACCAUGGUUCAAUAGUUACAAGCUUAUUUAUAGGUAGCUGAGCAUGCACAAUAGGUUACAGUGGGAAUGCAUCAGGUUAUUAUAAAGGAAACUAAGCUAAGCUAUGUUACUUGGAACCUAAGUUAUCCUUAUUAGUGAUAUCAUGUAAUAUCCUCCCACAAGUUAGAGGUUGGUACGAAUCCAGCAACCCUAACUUGGAUAGAAGAGUGUUGAAAGGCUGAGGAAGCAAGGAUUUUGUGAAGAAAUCAGCAAUUUGAUCUUGAGAAGAAACAGGGAUAAGCUUCAUGAUGCCAACUUGAAGUUUUUCUCUCACCAGAUGACAAUCAAUCUCCAAAUGCUUUGUGCGUUCAUGAAAAACUGGAUUAACAGCUAUACAGAGGGCACUUUGAUUAUCACAAAAAAGGACAGGAAGCUUAGAGCAUUGAAUGUUGAGAUCCUUGAGCAAGUAGAGAAGCCAUUGAAGCUCACAAGUAGUGAAGCUAGAGCCUGAUACUCAACUUCAGAUGAGGACCUGGAAACAGUGAUUUGCUUCUUUGUCCUCCAAAAAAUCAAAGAGUGACCGGCUCUGAUACCAUAUUAUGAAAUCAGGAAAAUAGUGUAUUAUUGCAUAAUGAUUCAAUAGUUACAUGCUUAUUUAUAGGUAGUUGAGCAUGCACAAUAGGUCACGGUGGGAAUGCAUCACAGACAAAUUCCCACUGUAUAUUACACAUUUUUAGGGUUUUCUAGGUGGAACCUACCAAACCCUUUGGGUUGUUCUCGGCGUGAUAUGUGGAUCAUCGUUUGAUUGUCAUCAUGUGGCAUUGAUGGAAUCAGCGGAUUCACUUGGGUGUACUCUUAGGGAUUCUCAUAGCAUACUCCGUAGUCACUCGAGAUAUUAGCGAAUUUGGCUUGAAUCCAAUUAGAAAUGUUAAAUAUAUAAUACAUAGGAAAAAAAUAUUAUUGUGUUAGUGUUCAUUAUAAGCUAUAGGGUUCUAACUUUCAAACAAUUUUUUUUUCAAGAACAAAAUGGGGAAUAGAAAUUUAUUAUUAAUAAAAGUAACAAAUGAUUAUUUUACAACCCUGUGUGAGGAUAUUUUAAUAUUGUUUCUUAAGAUUAUAAAAUCGAGUUCUUAAUACUGAGGUGGAACCUCACAGACAAAUUUCAAAUAAUUAUUUAUAUUAAACUAGUAAUAAAUAUAGUUACUUCAUUUUUUUUUCCUUAGAAAAGGGGUAAGGAAAAUUUCUCUAAGUUAUGUAAGCUACUAAGCAUGUCAACUGUCAAGUUUAAGGCAUAUGUAAUUUCAAAUACCUUAAUCAUGCAUUAUGGUAACCAAUAUUUGUGUUAAAUUGUAUUUGAGCUAUAUAAAGCUUAACGAUUCAUUCCAAUUCUUUCUCUUGCUAAUUUUCAGAACUAGAUGUUAAACUACUUACUAUAUUGAUAAAAAAACUACUAACCAUCUAAAUAAAAUAGCCACAGAAUGAAUAGUAAAUUUAGAAUUUAGCAUGGAAAUAUUUUAUCAAUGAGCUGUCACAAGGAUAUUAGUCUUGACAUAUUUAAUAUGGAGUGAUACUUUUAUUUAUUGCAUAUAUAUCAUUAUCUGCUAAAAAUUAAUGCAAUUGUACAUGACUGCUUAUCUAAUCUGUGCAGAGAAUAUCCCUGGAAUUUCGUCUCUUCAUAUAGAAGACCUUCGAACUGUUGUUCGCGGAGACGAUCCUCAAAAUAUACAGCUCUCAUUGGAAUGCAUUUCCAAGGUUACCAAAGCAAAUUACCUUCUUCUCACAACAGUGCAAGAGUUAGAAGCUGAAACAAUUGAUACCCUUAAAUCUAUAUUCCCCUUUCCAAUCUAUCCUAUUGGUCCUGCAGUACCUUAUUUAGAUCUUGAAGAAAAAAAAACGAAAAACACUGACCAUAGCCACGACUAUAUAAAAUGGCUAGAUUCUCAACCAUCUGAAUCCGUAUUAUACAUUUCUUUUGGCAGUUUCUGUUCCACGUCUAGGGCCCAAAUGGACGAAAUCAUUGAAGCACUUAACAGUAGUGAAAUUCGAUACCUUUAUGUGGCCCACAGGGAAACAUCGAGGUUGAAAGACAAGUGUGGAGAUAAGGGAAUGGUGAUACCUUGGUGUGAUCAACUCAAGGUGUUGUCUCAUUCUUCUAUAGGUGGAUUUUGGAGUCAUUGUGGAUGGAAUUCAACUUUGGAUGCUGUUUUUUCUGGUGUACCAAUUUUGACAUUCCCUCUUGCCCAUGAUCAACACCCUAAUAGCACUCAAAUUGUUGAUGAAUGGAAAAAUGGGUGGAAGGUAGAAAAAUCAUCGAAGUUGGAGAGUGAUGUGGUUUUUGCAAAAGAAGAUAUGGAAGAGCUUGUUAAGAGGUUUAUGGAUCUUGAAAGCCAAGAGGGAAAGAAAAUUAGAGAUAGAGCAAGAGAACUUAAGGUUACGUGUCGUAAAGCUAUUGGUAAAGGUGGAUCCUCAGAUAGGAACCUCAACGAAUUUAUCAGUGACAUUUCUUCUUGACGCGUUAUUGAUACCACCAGAUUCUAGACUUCUCGUGCAAGUGGUUAAUGUGCAGUCUGUGUGAGUAUUGUAAACCACCAAUUUCGAUUCCUAUUGAUAAUUUUUUUUCUUCUUC